This 30-nucleotide non-coding RNA is filed under the name Rattus norvegicus (Norway rat). Lineage: Eukaryota; Metazoa; Chordata; Mammalia; Rodentia; Muridae. The record is from RNAcentral.
UUUGAGUUUUGAAUUCUUUCUCUGACAUGG